RNAcentral lists this long non-coding RNA (1057 nucleotides) under Limulus polyphemus (Atlantic horseshoe crab). Its description in RNAcentral is "uncharacterized LOC111085839, transcript variant X1". The record is from RNAcentral. Lineage: Eukaryota; Metazoa; Arthropoda; Merostomata; Xiphosura; Limulidae.
GUCGGUUAAUGACAAUUACAGGAAAGUUUCUAAAUUAAGGUUAAACAGAGAUCGAGUCGUUAAGAUAAGAUGAUAUUUCAGUAAAAUCAAGAAUGCUUCCCUUGUUUUACUGUAUUUUUUUGUUCAUAUACAGUUUUACAUUACAGAAGCAUGUGUACGGGUGUUUGAAAUGGAUGUAAUUGUUUUAUCCCACAAAUAAUUAUACUAGUUCUAAACACAUGAACGCGUGUACCUUAUUCUGUAUAUGACUGAAAAUGUGUGUGUGCAUAUAAUUAUUUUUAAAAUAUGGAUGUAACAUUUUUGAAUUAUAUAUGUUUCGUAGCAACAGGUUACACUGAAACUCUUGUUUGAACAUAUAAAUGAAAACAUUUCCCUGCAAAUAAUUUAUCAAUUAAAAAACAAUUUCUAAAGCGAGAAAUAAAAGUGAGAGCGGGUUAUUUCGUGAUUUUUGUGUGUAGAACUGAUAAUUUCUAACGCUAAAAAACGUAGAUAUUUAUCGAUCAAAGAAUCGAGUACUACAGAACGAUCUAUUAUAGGCUGGACAAGACAAAAUAAAAAGUAAAGUAAAUCGCGUGAGGUUCUGUCGAAAAGCAGCUGGAAAAAGAAAGUAUAGUGUUCCCUCAAGCUUCAGAGAUCUAAAACUUGAGUAUGUAAAAUAGUGGAACACUCGAGAAGACCGCCAAGAGACCACCACUCCCCGGUUGCUCGAUACCUGCGGUUUUCUUCUAUGUAAUUGUGUCCUGUUGUAUACCUGCGCCAUCUUCUGGAGCUUGAAUUAACUAAUUAUCUAUGGUCAACUACUUCGAGAAAAACACUUCAAAUAUAAUGCUCAUUGAAUGAACCAAAAUAAGUUACCUUAUUUUCACGUAAAUAAUGAUUACAAAUUGAUUGCAGUAUAAAUUUAUCAGAAAAUAUGUGUAACAUUCGGGAUAAUCUUGAUACACAAAUAUACAAAAAGAAUAGAAUAUGUGACUGUACAGAAAAUUUUAUGAUUCUGUAUGAAACAAUCACUUAAUAAAUCUUUGAUUGUAUCUUUGAAUGCUCCAUUGUUAUGUUA